UACGUAGGGUGCGAGCGUUAAUCGGAAUUACUGGGCGUAAAGCGCGCGCAGGCGGUUUUGUAAGCCCGAUGUGAAAUCCCCGGGCUUAACCUGGGAAUGGCAUUUGGGACUGCAAGGCUCGAGUGCGGCAGAGGAGACUGGAAUUCCUGGUGUAGCAGUGAAAUGCGUAGAUAUCAGGAGGAACACCGGUGGCGAAGGCGGCAUCCUGGACCGGCAUUGACGCUGAUGAGCGAAAGCUAGGGGAGCAAACGGG
RNAcentral lists this ribosomal RNA (253 nucleotides) under uncultured bacterium. RNAcentral's name for it is "partial 16S ribosomal RNA". It matches the Rfam family "Bacterial small subunit ribosomal RNA", at positions 524 to 776 of the family's 1533-position model. The record is from RNAcentral.